RNAcentral lists this non-coding RNA (162 nucleotides) under Nicotiana attenuata. RNAcentral's name for it is "rRNA SSU_rRNA_eukarya". It matches the Rfam family "Eukaryotic small subunit ribosomal RNA", at positions 1190 to 1482 of the family's 1831-position model. Lineage: Eukaryota; Viridiplantae; Streptophyta; Magnoliopsida; Solanales; Solanaceae. The record is from Rfam by way of RNAcentral.
UUAAUUUGAUUCAACACGGGGAAACUUACCAAGUCCAGUCAUAGUAAGGAUUGACAGACUGAGAGCCCUUUCUUGAUUCUAUGGGUGGUGGUGCAUGGCCGUUCUUAGGCCGCGGAAGUUUGAGGCAAUAACAGGUCUGUGAUGUCGACCACUUCUAGUGCU